RNAcentral lists this transfer RNA (69 nucleotides) under Gekko horsfieldii (Horsfield's flying gecko). RNAcentral's name for it is "tRNA-Ala". The record is from RNAcentral. Lineage: Eukaryota; Metazoa; Chordata; Lepidosauria; Squamata; Gekkonidae.
AAGGCCUGUAGAUCUGUCCAAUACAUCUUCUGAUUGCAACUCAGAUGCUUUAAUUAAGCUAAAACCUCC